UUGUCAUGGGGGAGGUGGUGGUGCUCGGGGCUGCUGGCGGCCGAGGUAGAGGCAGUGGCUGUGGAGUUGGUCGUGGGCAGCGGCAGAUUUGAGGCUUCAACAACUUAUAGGGAAGAAGACCAGUGCAACUGAUACUGCAAACCAAGAUCUUGGUUCACAUCCAUAAAUUGAAAUUUUGGUGGACCAGCCAUCCUCAGACACCUCACUUAAAGACAGAUGAGGAAACUGAGGCUUGGUGAAGUUACGAAACUUGUCCAAAGUCACACAGCUUGUAAAGGGCACAGCCAAGAUUCAAAGCCAGACUCUAAGAAUUAAUAAUGAACAAACUACGGCAAAGUUUUAGAAGAAAGAAAGACGUUUAUGUUCCAGAGGCCAGUCGUCCACAUCAGUGGCAGACAGAUGAAGAAGGGGUUCGUACUGGAAAAUGUAGCUUUCCAGUUAAGUACCUUGGCCAUGUAGAAGUUGAUGAAUCAAGAGGAAUGCAUAUCUGUGAAGAUGCUGUGAAAAGACUGAAAGCUGAAAGGAAGUUCUUCAAAGGCUUCUUUGGAAAAACCGGGAAGAAAGCAGUGAAGGCCGUCCUGUGGGUUUCAGCAGAUGGACUCAGAGUUGUGGAUGAAAAAACUAAGGACCUCAUAGUUGACCAGACAAUAGAAAAAGUUUCUUUCUGUGCCCCAGAUAGGAACUUUGAUAGAGCCUUCUCUUACAUAUGUCGUGAUGGCACCACUCGGCGCUGGAUCUGUCACUGCUUCAUGGCUGUUAAGGACACGGGAGAAAGACUGAGCCAUGCAGUCGGCUGUGCUUUUGCAGCCUGUUUAGAGCGUAAACAGAAGCGGGAGAAGGAAUGUGGAGUGACUGCUACUUUUGAUGCUAGUCGGACCACUUUUACAAGAGAAGGAUCAUUUCGUGUCACAACAGCCACCGAGCAAGCAGAAAGAGAGGAGAUUAUGAAACAAAUCCAAGAUGCCAAGAAAGCUGAAACAGAUAAGACAGUUGUUGGUUCAUCAGUGACCCCUGGCAACACUGUCCCAUCCCCGUCCUCUCCCACGUCUCCCACUUCGGAUGCCACUCUAUCUCUGGAGAUGAACAACCCUCAUGCCAUCCCACGCCGGCAUGCUCCGAUUGAACAGCUUGCUCGCCAGGGCUCUUUCCGAGGAUUUCCUGCUCUUAGCCAGAAGAUGUCACCCUUUAAACGCCAGCUCUCCCUACGCAUCAACGAGUUGCCUUCUACUAUGCAGAGGAAGACUGAUUUCCCCAUAAAAAAUGCAGUACCAGAGGUAGAAGGGGAAGCGGAGAGUAUCAGCUCCCUUUGCUCACAGAUCACCAAUGCCUUCAGCACACCCUCCGAGGAUCCCUUCUCAUCAGCCCCAAUGACCAAACCAGUGACAGCAGUGGCACCACAGUCUCCUGCCUUUCAAGCUAAUGGCACUGACUCAGCCUUCCAUGUGCUUGCUGCUAAGCCAGCCCAUACUGCUCUAGCACCCGUAGCAAUGCCUGUGCGUGAAACCAACCCUUGGGCCCAUGCCCCUGAUGCUGCUAACAAGGAAAUUGCAGCCACACAUACGGGGACCGAAUGGGGUCAAUCUUCUGGUGCUGCUUCUCCAGGUCUCUUCCAGGCGGGCCACAGACGCACUCCAUCUGAGGCUGACCGCUGGUUAGAAGAGGUGUCCAAGAGCGUGCGGGCUCAGCAGCCCCCGGCCGCGGCUGCCCCUCUGCAGCCAGUGCUCCAACCUCCUCCACCCACUGCCAUCGCCCAGCCAGCUCCGCCUUUCCAGGGGAAUGCAUUCCUCACCGCUCAGCCCGUGCCAGUGGGUGUGGUCCCACCCCUGCAGCCAGCCUUUAUCCCUGCCCAGCCCUAUCCUGUGGCCAACGGGAUGCCCUAUCCAGCCCCUAACGUGCCUGUGGUGGGCAUCACUCCCUCCCAGAUGGUAGCCAAUGUGUUUGGCACUGCAGGCCACCCUCAGGCUGCCCACCCCCAUCAGUCUCCCAGCUUGGUCAAGCAGCAGACAUUCCCUCAGUAUGAGACGAGCAGUGCUACUGCCAGUCCAUUCUUUAAGCCUCCUGCUCAGCACCUCAAUGGUUCUGCAGCUUUCAAUGGUGUAGAAGAGAGCAGGCUGGCCUCGGGAGACAAGCACACAGAGGUUCCUGCAGGUACCUGCCCCGUGGAUCCUUUUGAAGCCCAGUGGGCUGCAUUAGAAAGUAAGUCCAAGCAGCGUACUAACCCCUCCCCCACCAACCCUUUCUCCAGUGACUUACAGAAGACAUUUGAAAUUGAACUUUAAGUGGUUCCUAUGGCUUAUGUAUUUUGACCAUACUUAGGCAAGGAUGGGGGUGGAGGUCCAAGGAGCAAAGGGGAUGUGUUCCUUAUCAGUAUGCUUUUUACUAAUCCCAAAGGGCAUAUCCAGGCACAGAGUACAAUGAGGGGAGAUUUGGAAAAUCAAUCAGAGAAAACCAUUCCUAGAGAAGAGUUAUCUUACAGUUAGGCUAAAGAAGUCAAGGUAUUGUUGCCCUCUGUCCCCUCCUCCUUCCUCAGCCCCUUACAAAUCUCUGGCAACAGAGAGGCAGAUGUAUCUCAACAGGAACCUGUAUUCAAAGCACAUUUACUGGAACAUAAAACAACGGGAAGCAAAAUGAUCUCCCUUGUCUUUCAGGCCAGUCACCUGCCUCCUCUUGGUACUGGCCUGUCAUAGAGAUCAAGGACAGGGGAGGCCUGUGCUUAGGCAGGAAGAGAGGCAGGCUUUGCUACCAGAAUUCCCAGGAGGGCACAGCAGCAGCCGCCCAGCAGAGCUAUAUUUUAGGGGUAAAUUUGAGCUUCCAUUUUGAAUAACAGAAUAAAUAUUAUAAAUAUAUAUAAAAAAGCCAAAAUCUUUAUUUUUAUGCAUUUAGAAUAUUUUAAAUAGUUCUCAAUAUUAAAAAAUUGUAUGAGGUGUAAGUAAUCUUGCCAAAGGUAAAAGGGUUAGGUGUAAGAAAUUGUACAUAAGAUUGAUUUAUCAUUGAUGCCUAUUGCGGUAAAAAGGGCAGGCUAGACGUUGCAGACAGGAUCCCUAGCUUAUUUGGUGUCGUCCAUUGUAAGUAGCGCAUUGCAACACAAUCAUGCUUAUGACCAGUACAGUCACUAGGGUGUAGUUUAAAUAAAGAAAAUGAAAGAGCAGUAUUGUCCUGGUUUUAAACCAAUGAAAUUCUAAUAUUUUAAUGGAAUCAAGCUAAAUAUGCUCUAUAGAAAAUAUGUAUUUCCUUUUAUGUAUUGCUACAUUUUCCUUACGUUAAUCCUUUAACACUAAGGUGACAAUGACAUAAUCAUAGACGGGAAUGCAGGUUACUGUGUUGGUUUGUCAUGUGGGUCUUGGUGAGUUUUGUUUUGUUCUUUGUUCCCACGCAUUUAGUGGGAAUGAAAAUCCGGGUUUUACUAGCUGUGUGUGUCCCUGUCUGCCCUUCCUGUGUGCAGAGUGCCCCAUUGCCAGUUGCUGCCACUUGACCUCUGGUAACGACAUGAGAUCCCAUCUCAUUUUUACUUUUGAACGUUGGCCUUACAAUCAAAUGCUUCGGUUGAUCCUGAGUACACCUCUAACAUCAGACUCUUGCUACUUAAAGUGUGGUCUGGAACAGCAGCCUGGACUUGACUGACCAGGAGCUGAUUAGAGAUGCCAAAUCUUGCCAAAUCUGAGCCCCACCCCAGACCUAGUCAGAGCCUGCAUUUGAACAAGAUGCUUAUGCUGAGAAGCCUGGACUGAAGCACUGAUUAGAUCCAUAUUAGAAUUACCUGAGGAGCUUUUAAAAUCAUCAUGCCUAGCCCACGCUUGAGCGCAAGUAAAUCAAAAUCUCUGGGGAGAUUUCUCAGCUUUUAAAAAGUUCCCAGCAUGGAAGAGGAUUGAGAACCACUAUUCUAGAGUGAAUCCCACCUCUAACCUUCUUAGCUCACUCUUUUGUGACUAGUUCUAAGAAGAGUUCGCUAACCUCAACCUUACUUUCUGAGGUGGGUUGCCAACUGGCCAAAUACUGAAUUAAUUUAAAAUGUGGGGAGUCUUACUUUCUAAUUUCUAUAGCAAAACUCGCCAUACUAAAUGAAAGGGGAUGUUCGUUGAUUUUUUUUUUAAUGAAAGAAAAAAACUCAUUGGUGAGAAGCCGACCAAGCACUAUCACUCACCCAUGAUGCAGUCGCUCUCUUUUCCAGCCAGUGUGUUGGUAUUAAGUCACCUUUCAGAGCUUUAGCCCCUAUAAUGCCUGUCUUUCCUGUGUCCAAGAAUAACCUUUGUUGCUAGGCCCUGUCAGUCCUCUGGAGGCUGCGUAAAGUUUGAAAUGGAAAGGUGCUCAGAAGCUUGUGAAAUCGCUAUUACAUUGCCCUCCUCCCCACUGGCACCCCAGUCCUACUGAUGCUGUAUUUAGUAAGUCUGGUUUUUAUCUGGCAACAAACAUUUUGCUUCACAGAUUCCUACUUGAGGAGGAGAGGCUCCUCCAUAGCCACUGUACAGAGCAGACCCAUCAGCUCGAUCCAGGGGUGAUGACCCUGCGGCCAGGCUGCGUGUAUCAGCCUCAGGAGAAGGGCUUCGGGCUUCCUGGUGAGAGUAAGGAGCUUUUCCGGUUCUUUUGUGCUCAGAUAAUAAUGCAACUGCUGCUCUUUUAUCCCCAACCCCUAUACUGAGCCUUAUCUUCCACUUUGCUGCAUGCUUUCACAAACAUGCUGUUAUUAACCGUGAGCACAGGUGGGCAAUGUUGCUGAACUGCCUACAAGGGUGAGAGACACCAUGGCAAUGGGCCCUGGUUUGAUCCCAGAUGACAAGAUCUAGUUCUAGCAAGGAUUGUUUCCCUGGCACAGCAGAAAUGCCUGUUCCCUGGAUGAGAUAGAUAUUAACUUUGAACCCACUGCCUCCCCACCCUUACAGCUUGCUUUCAAACAGUGAACUGAUCCUAUGUAACAAAAUCUAUAGAGGGAAUUGUAAAGGUUGUCCUUACUCUUGACAACUCAACAGUCCCCUGUGGCACCAACUCCGAGAUACAGAGGGGCUGCUACUGGUUCUGCUGAGGUCAAACCCUUGGGAAUGGGGAGAGCUGAAAGGGCCAGGGCCUCCAGAAGAUGACUGCCUUCAUCAGCCAGAGAAGAGAGGGCGAGAGUCCUCCGCCCCAGCCCUGAGCUGUUUGGGGGCUGAGGCCAGCUUUCAUCCCUGCUGCCAGAUGGGCUGAGCAGGAGGCUGGACGCGCGAACAGCUGGCGCAGCAGAAGCUGGAGUAAUACUCAUUGCCACAGAGCUGGGCCUGCAGGAUCAAAUCACAGUUGGCCAGCUCAGGCUGGUCAGUGCAUUCCCUGCGGGGGUCCCUUGGCUGAGUGGCCAGUGCUGCAGAACAACAGGAGAGAGAAAGUGGUCAGGAAGCUGUGUGCAUGCUGAGAAGCCUCACCUGCCAUUUCUUCUCCUUAAAAGGAAAGCCAUUCUGUAACCUUGUAACACCUGUGUGUGCGGCUUCACAGGCUGAGGUGACACUUUCUAUUCUUUCAUUGGCCUCCCUUCAGCACAUAGUGGGCCUUCCGUUGUUCCUGGGUGCAGAUUCCCAAAUACAGGAAGUUAAAUACCGCCCUUGCUAUUGACCUGAAAGGCUGAGUGAUAGGUGCCCGGUCCCUGGCUUGGAAAGAGGAGGGUCAGCCCUAAGGACAGCUUUGAGUUGGUAAGAGCGCCUGGCUCUUGCACUGCUGGUUUCCGCCAACUCCGAAGUGUUGUGCCUUUAACAGCCUUAGCUUAGCUUAAUCACUCAGUUCCCCACCUUUUCACUCCCCCUGCCCCACCCCGGGAAGCAAGUUAUAUGCAACAAGGUGAGAGUAAAAAGUCUAGAGAACUGAGACUCCAGCACCGCACUGAGCACAGCCCAUUGCCUCCACCUCUGACUUCACCAGGAGCUUCUGCAGCUUACAGCUCACUCUGAGGGUGUCCCCUACUGCUUCAUGCCAGGCCUGACGUCGUCUUAGCUCAGUAACUUUUCUUUCUGGAAGGGAUUCUGACAACUCAGCUUGGACUAGGCAUUAUUUCCUUCAUCCUGGAGCAGCCCACUGUACAGAUGAGGGAGGUGAGACUCAGGAAGUGCCCCACGUCACACUUCAGUAACUGGCAGAGCAAGUCAGGGUGACAGGCCUGCGCUUGCCCACACGGAGCCAGCCCUUCUUACCUGGCCGGAUCAUCUUCACCUCCGUGCUGCGGCUGAUGGCCUGGCUCCCUCGGUAGGCACUGCAUGUGUAGGAGCCCUCGUCCCUGGCCCGCAGGUUGUGGAUCAGCAGCGUGCCAUCCGGGGACUGGUGAACACGGUGGCCAUCGGCCUGGACUGGCAGCCCAUUCCUGGAGGGGAAGAGAUGCAGCCACUGCCGACCCAAGACCAGAGACAGGGAGGAGGUAACAGACCACUCCAGGGCCAACUACUUCCUCCCUCUGGGCAAACAGGUGACCCUCACUCGUCUCAAGGAAGACACGGACAGGGUAACAAAAAGAACAUAACGCACCUCCAAUGAGGUGAACUCAUACUGAUCUGAGUUACUUCAAACGUACCUCUCACCCCCAAAGGGCCGGCCGCACUCUUACUUUUCAGUAACAAAGAUCUUUUAAGCAACUAGGGGGUGCCAGUCCUUUUCCUGGGUGCAGGACAUAAGCAUUCCCUGCCUUCAGGGUACUGGGGUGCAAGUGUUCAGGGGAGUUACUCGUAAGGAGGAGGCGGCAGCAGGAGUUGGAAGGAAGGCCAUGGCCUAAGCAAGGCACUGGGGUGGGGAGCUGAGGGCCCUUUAUGGCCCUGGUCUGGAGUUUGAACUGGAUCCUGAGGGUGAUGGGGGGCAUCAAGUGAGACUAACACUUAAGAUAGCUGCCCAGGCAGGGUGCUCGGGGAGAAUCCUGAAGGCAGAGACCAGGUAAGUGGCAGCUGCACAUAGGUAGCUGACACAGGCAGUAAAGAAAGGGACUUGGGGCAGUGCAGUAGUUAAGGAUGAUGGAGCUUCUGGCUUGGGUUAGCGAGUAAUGGGGGUGCCCCUUCCACAUGGGCAGAGCCAGGCCAAGGAUGAGGGGUGUGUGAGGUUCUUUCCCACCACCUUGCACUUCUGGCGCCUGAGAGACACCAACAAGUAUCAGAUGUAGGCCUGCCCAGGUGAACUUAGGGAGACAAAGCAAGGACAGACAUUAAGCAAGAGCAGCAUCUCAGGGGUAGAUGAGAAGAUGACGAGCCAGCCGGGAGGACAGAAGUAGCAGCUGCAGAAGCAGGAAGACCACCACAACAGUCGUUUUGGGAGGAGAGCAUGGUCAGCAGAGGAAUGCUGCAGGUAGUGUGGGCAUGGAAAUGUGUCCAGAGGAUUUAGGAACAGGGAGGUAAAUAGUUGGUGGCCUUGGAAGGGAGAGGAUGUGAGGACCUACUGGGGCUGAGCCAGCAGCGAACAGGGGGAGACACCCAGUAUAGACUGUGCAGUUAGAGGGAGACUGGCAUGGGCCUGCAGGGGAGCACAGGGCCAGAAGAAGGUAUGUUUUAACGAGGGAAGCCCUGAGCAUGUUUGCUGCUGGGACGAUCCAGACGCAAAGUAGAAGACCACCUGGUAGAAUAUCAGGGCUGACAGCCCGUUGAAAAGCCUCAGAGGCUCCCUGCAGCCUUCCCCUGGCACCAGAGCUGCACAGGCAGCAAGCUCUACUACCCUAUCUUCCAUCCCAUCCUGGCAGCAUCUCACAAAUACACACUUUGGGGCUUGACCAAGGACAUCCUUCCAGGCCCAGCCAAAGUCACCUCCUUGACCACCCUUUUCCUUGAGUCUCCCAGAUGAGAGGCAGCCCCACUCCACUGUGAGGACAGCACUUUGGGCAAACUGUGGCUGGCACUCAUGGGACACUACAUCAUCUCUUGCCUGGGAGUAUCUUAUGGGGUCAGAUUACCCGAGGGUCCCCAGAGCCUAGUCCUGAUACAUGGCAAGAAGGAAGGGGGUAAAGAAACGGUUGCUGAAGGAACAAGUAAAAGACCACUCAACCUCUGGGGAGAUUUUGCCACCCACGGGACAACUGGCAAUGCUGAGCGUGGUAGUGGCAUCAAAUGAGCGAGUGUGGCUGAAUAUUCUAUAGUACAUAGGAGAGCCAUCAAGAACUGAAGAUUACUGGGUUCAAAAUGUCAAUAAUGCUGACGUAAAUCCCUGGUGUAGCCCAGCCAACAGAACAGAGCAGGCCUUGAAAGGGGUGUGGCAGUAGUGACAGAAGCAUCCCCAGAAAGGUGGACCAUCUCUGGGCUGCACAACCUCCAUGGGAGGGUCUAUAGGCCAGGGCCUCCAGGAAUAGAGCCUUACCUGGACCAUCUGACGUUCACACUUUGUCCUGCCACCGUACACAGCAGCCUGGCCGUGUCACCCUCUGGCACCGUCAUGGUAGAGGGCAGCCCUGUGAUGGUCAGCUCCCCUGGGGCCCAAGGAGAAGGCACUGUCAGCCAUGGUGCCAUUCCCACCCCACCUAUGCCAUCCGACCGCAAAGGCCCCGCUCACCCUUCCAUUCCAGACUGCCAUCUUACCCAGAACUCUGAGCUGGACCCAUCGCUGGUCUCGGUCCUGCCCAUUGAAAGCAACACAGGCAUAGAAGCCACCAUCUUCAGCAGCCACGUGGCUGAUGACCAGAGAGCCAUCAGGCUGCAGCUGGUGUCUGGGGACCAAGCAGAGUCUGUUGUCUCCAUCCCAAGGCGGGCCACGGACAGUGAGGGGAGGAGCUGCUGAGAGGCUGUUCGCUGGGGUCUGCCUAAGGGCCACUCACCCAGGUCCCCAGCGGCUAGCAUGUGCAGCUACUUGAAAGGCCUGGCUUUUAAGCCUGGCAAUAAACACAAACCAUUUCAAGUUUUCUGAUGCAAAAUUCUGGUUUGGGUUUCCAGUUUCAUCUAGUGGGUUUGAAUCCCGGCUCUGCCACUUAGGAGCUGAGCGGUGUGGAGCUGGUGUGUAAAAUGGGGAUAAACAGCCACUACCUCAGCAUGGUGGUUCUGCAGACUGUGAUGGAGAACACCCCCCGCCCCGACUCAUGACCGUUUCUUCCCUCAGCCAUCAACUCUGCUAGCUGGCCUAGUCUGUCCAGAGACCCAAGAUGCCCUGCACCCAGCAGCUCCAUCUCUCCAGAGCCCCUACUGUCCUGCUCAGGACAGACUGGAGGGCCGCCCUCUCCCUACAGCCGGCACAGGAUGGGGCAGGAGGGAGGAAGCAGAACUAACCUGGGAGAAGAGAGCAGCUGCCCUUCUCUCUGCCACUCGAUGGUCGGGGGCGGGAAGCCCUCAGCGCGGCAGGUCAGCCGGACCCGCUGUCCUGGGUG
This is an RNA transcript of Talpa occidentalis (Iberian mole), 9274 nucleotides long. It is a transcript of the gene named NUMB endocytic adaptor protein, with no coding region annotated. The transcript is spliced from 14 exons. NCBI's taxonomy places the organism in Eukaryota, Metazoa, Chordata, Mammalia, Eulipotyphla, Talpidae. The record is from RefSeq and is a predicted model, not a curated record.